GAUGAACGCUAGCGGCAGGCUUAACACAUGCAAGUCGAGGGGCAGCAUAGAGGUUAGCAAUAACUUCUGAUGGCGACCGGCGCAAGGGUGCGUAACGCGUGAGCAACUUGCCCUUAUCAGGGGGAUAACCAAUGGAAACGUUGACUAAUACCCCAUAGCAUAACUUUGAGGCAUCUCUUAGUUAUUAAAGAAUUUCGGAUAAGGAUAGGCUCGCGUGACAUUAGCUAGAUGGCGGGGUAACGGCCCACCAUGGCGACGAUGUCUAGGGGUUCUGAGAGGAAGGUCCCCCACACUGGAACUGAGACGCGGUCCAG
RNAcentral lists this ribosomal RNA (314 nucleotides) under uncultured bacterium. RNAcentral's name for it is "bacterial SSU rRNA". It matches the Rfam family "Bacterial small subunit ribosomal RNA", at positions 28 to 334 of the family's 1533-position model. The record is from RNAcentral.